UCCAGGGUGGUGCUAGUUCCCAGACCUGCCCCUCAGGCUGACUCUGUGCCACAGCUGCCAAUGUCCUUCUAAGAGGGUGCGCUGAAAAACACAGAAGCGAGAGAUGAUCCUUUUACCCUUUGAGUAAAGCAGAGAUUGGCACUACCAUGCUUAUGGUGUUCCCCCUCUGCACUACUGACUUGCACAAUUUUCUGAAGAAAUGGCAAGAUACACUGCUUUGGGAACGAUCCUGUCCUGAUUCUGGAGGUGCAAAAGCUAUUUCAUGUGUUUGGGUGAGAGUAGAGAAGAAAAGACUGCGGCUGAUCAGCAUUGCAAUUUUCUGGAGGAAGAGUUGCUCUUGUGAAGAGAUCCUGACUGAGAGAAGCUGUAAAACAGGAGUAUAAAAUCCUGAAUGGCAUGAAGAAGCUGCAUGUGAUGCUCUCGCUGGGGCCCUCUGCUGGUCACAUUCGAAGUGAAAAACCCCGAACACUCCCAACUUGAUUGGGACUCGCAGGAAAAGACCGGUAACACUUAACCAAAACACCGCCAAUUUUGGAACGGGGAUGCAAAAUUUAAUUCCUCACGGAUCAUAAAUACAUCAGCCUCUACUUAAGUGAGUUAAGAAUAAACUUUUUUUUUAGGGAAAAGUAUUUAAUAACUGCUGCAGGGCUUCUUGUGUUGGUGCUGACUUCUGUCAGAACUGUAUGAUGAAUGAUCUGGUUUGGUAGUUGUCAAUUAAAAUGUUCUGAUGCU
Long non-coding RNA from Oxyura jamaicensis (ruddy duck), 732 nucleotides. RefSeq lists it as uncharacterized. The transcript is spliced from 3 exons. The record is from RefSeq and is a predicted model, not a curated record. NCBI's taxonomy places the organism in Eukaryota, Metazoa, Chordata, Aves, Anseriformes, Anatidae.